Molecule: ribosomal RNA, 486 nt
Filed under: uncultured bacterium
Lineage: Bacteria
Description: partial 16S ribosomal RNA
Rfam family: Bacterial small subunit ribosomal RNA
Source: RNAcentral
GAUGAACGCUGGCGGCGUGCCUAAUAUAUGCAAGUCGAACGCUGGAGAUCUAGCUUGCUAGAUCGAAGGAGUGGCGAACGGGUGAGUAAUACAUAAGCAACCUACCCACGAAGACUGGGAUAAUCUCUGGAAACGGGGACUAAUACCGGAUAGGUAAUCGGAAGGCAUCUUCUGGUUAUUAAAGGUUAAAAACACUGGUGGAUGGGCUUAUGGCGCAUUAGUUAGUUGGUGAGGUAACGGCCCACCAAGACGAUGAUGCGUAGCCGGCCUGAGAGGGUGAACGGCCACAUUGGGACUGAGACACGGCCCAGACUCCUACGGGAGGCAGCAGUAGGGAAUUUUCGGCAAUGGGGGCAACCCUGACCGAGCAACGCCGCGUGAGUGAAGACGGCCUUCGGGUUGUAAAGCUCUGUUGUAAGGGAAGAACGGUAGAUAGAGAAUAUCUAAGUGACGGUACCUUACCAGAAAGCCACGGCUAACUACGUG